UUUCUCUCUUCUCUGUUUUGGAAGAGAAAAUAAAAAAGAUACUAAAAAGGAAAAGGUAAAGAGGUGAUUUUUGUGGGGCUUUGGGCAUGCUUAGGAAUGCUGUGGAUUGACUGAAUUUUGGAGAUUUUUUCCCUUGUUUUGUAACCCGGUAAUCUCGGGUGGCUUUGAAGGAGAUGGGGAGUUCUGGUGAGUCUGUUGUCAAAGCCAUUGAUGCGUCGGUUGGGGGUCUGGUGUGGG
This 237-nucleotide unclassified non-coding RNA is filed under the name Hevea brasiliensis (rubber tree). The record is from RNAcentral. Lineage: Eukaryota; Viridiplantae; Streptophyta; Magnoliopsida; Malpighiales; Euphorbiaceae.